This 66-nucleotide transfer RNA is filed under the name Typhlocyba choui. Its description in RNAcentral is "tRNA-Phe". Lineage: Eukaryota; Metazoa; Arthropoda; Insecta; Hemiptera; Cicadellidae. The record is from RNAcentral.
AUUUAUAUAGCUUAAAAUUUAGAGCAUUGUGUUGAAGUUACAAGGGUGAAUUUUAUUCUAUAAAUA